Lingula anatina is the source of this 545-nucleotide long non-coding RNA. The record is from RefSeq and is a predicted model, not a curated record. Lineage: Eukaryota; Metazoa; Brachiopoda; Lingulata; Lingulida; Lingulidae.
CUUGCGCUCAGACUUAACUCUCACUCCUGCGUCGCAUGCAUCGAAUAUUAGAUUAACAGACGGGCUUAAUCACGAAGACGCUGCAACAGUGGCUGCAAUACGGCUGAUACGACUGGAGAUGAGUAGAUCAUGUAAUAAUAUCUAGUAGUGUGCUGAACCACCUCGACUGCGGGUCUGGGUGGCAAUAUUUGUGUCUCAUGCUGUGCCAUUUUGGUACUUGGUCUUAAAGCAAGCGACCACUCGUCUUGGGAACUUACUGACGCCGAGAUAAAAUAGGUGGCGCUCCUUGAGAGACGCUCCCAAACAUGGGCCGAUGUGUCGAAGUGGCCUCUUGGGGCUGGGUCAUCUUGAUCAGCGCUGUCGUCAUGCGUACCGUGAACAACGGAAUCGUGACGUCAUUCGGAGAGUUUCUUGGUAUUUUCAAAGCAUUGUUUCCUACUUCCAAGAUGGCUUUUCUAGACACCAUAGGCGCUACGGCGUACGGCAUCACCAGCAUCGGGACGCCGCUAGCCCUGGUCAUGAAACGCUGCUUCGGGGCCCGGAAG